UAGGGAAUCUUCGGCAAUGGACGAAAGUCUGACCGAGCAACGCCGCGUGUGUGAAGAAGGUUUUCGGAUCGUAAAACUCUGUUGUUAGAGAAGAACAAGGACGUUAGUAACUGAACGUCCCCUGACGGUAUCCAACCAGAAAGCCACGGCUAACUACGUGCCAGCAGCCGCGGUAAUACGCAGGUGGCAAGCGUUGUCCGGAUUUAUUGGGCGUAAAGCGAGCGCAGGCGGUUUCUUAAGUCUGAUGUGAAAGCCCCCGGCUCAACCGGUGAGGGUCAUUGGAAUCUGUGAGUCUAGAGUGCAGAAGAGGAGUGUGGAAUUCCAUGUGUAGCGGUGAUAUGCAUAGAUAUAUGGAGGAACACCAGUGGCAAAGACGGCUCUCUGGUCUGUAACUGACGCUGAGGCUCGAAAGCGUGGGGAGCAAACAGG
RNAcentral lists this ribosomal RNA (429 nucleotides) under Gemmatimonadota bacterium. Its description in RNAcentral is "Gemmatimonadetes bacterium partial 16S ribosomal RNA". It matches the Rfam family "Bacterial small subunit ribosomal RNA", at positions 355 to 776 of the family's 1533-position model. The record is from RNAcentral. Lineage: Bacteria; Pseudomonadati; Gemmatimonadota.